Anopheles merus is the source of this 1636-nucleotide RNA transcript. RefSeq lists it as uncharacterized. The record is from RefSeq and is a predicted model, not a curated record. Lineage: Eukaryota; Metazoa; Arthropoda; Insecta; Diptera; Culicidae. The transcript has 5 exons.
ACACAGCAUAGUUUCGUUCUGUCUGUCGGCGAGGGUACACGCGUUCGUCGUUUGCUGGCGCUCAAGUCUUUCGUUUCUGCUCGCUUGUCCGUCUACGAUCGGCUGACAUUUACUGGAGAAAAAGAUUCUUUCUCAAGCGUUCAAACAAUACCUCACUUAACGUGUGUGAUCACACCCAACACACUCGGUAACCAUCAUGGGCAAGGUCGUGGUACUAGUUCUCAGCAUCAUUAUCGGUCUAGCUACCCAGCAGGCGAUGGCAAAGGAAAAACACAUCAAGUACACCGAAAAAGAUCUGCUACGAAAGUCGAUCGUGUACGACAAAAACACGCCCGAUGUCUUCUACUGCCCCGUGAACAAACCCACCGGAAUGGAUAAGAUGAUCGUGAGGUCUCGUCCACUACACAAGCUCUGCGAGCAUGAGGGAAAACCGCUACCAGCGCAUUACAAAUCUGACUGCUACAAUGAUGUCGAUGAGUCGAACUACGCAUGCAAGGAGAAGUAUAGAAUAAUGAAACGUUUCGCCAAAGAUAAUGUUGAGAUCUAAACAGACAUCCUCGGUCAUAUGAUCUCCGACAUCGAAUUUCUCGUGCGAGCGAUUACAAUGACUUAACGUUCUGACUUUACUUGUGCUACUGAAAUUUUACUAGAAAUUGUUACAAACUGCAUAGAACUUUAGAACGAUUUUUAUACUUAAUUUCUUUCUUUGAAUUCUAUCCUUUCCAAUUCCUGCCAUAGAACGUAUCCCCUUUUGGAGUACGAUUGUCUAGACUUAUCAUUAACAGUUGCUUCCAUCGUGUUCUUCUAAUCUUUACUUGGCCGAGUCCAAGUUGUGUUUUAGCCUACUUUUAACCAUUUACACAUUAAUACCAAAUCAUAAAGUAAGACGACAUGUGGUAUUUAAAGAAAAAUGCACAAUCUACAUUAAACAAUAACUUUUACUUCAUCGGUUACCAAAUGACGAGGAAAUGAGCUUUCGUUGUUUAAAAGUAAACGAAAAAGAACAGAAAGAUGUAUCAUCAACAACAUUCCAUGUACUUUGAAUAACAAGAUCAACUGAUCCUUAUAUCCUUAUUAAUGGUGAAGGUACAGGACAGUGGAAGUGGAUGGGCUAUCUCUUUUACUAACCAUCGUUAACCCGCGGUCGCUUCUAAUUAUUCGACAAAACAUAUCCCUCGUUUACAUGGCUAAUAUCAACUAAUCUGUAAUAUAAAAUGCAGCAUAACAAGACAACAUCACUCGCUUGCAAAACGUAAACUUCCAAACGUGACUGUGGACAUCGUUUAGGCAAGACUAUUUGUGGCUACUAGCCUUGGAACAACCUUUCUUAGAACCAUAAAUCAACGAACCUCACAGCACUUACACAGACAUUUGUUGAAAGACGAAAUUGUUCUAAACGGAAAGUAUCGCUUUGCACCUGAAAUUUACACACCUUCAAAGGGGAUUAAAACGCGAAUCACACACAAACACAUAAACACAACCUGCUGCUUAAACGCCAGCCUAAAGCAUUACACGGGAAAUUGGAGGCCUAUACACGAUAAGAUGCGUCUGAAUCCGCCCGGUAGUGACGCUCCGUUCAAUGGACAGCGUUUGAGCAGAUUUAUGGACAUGGAUGACGAUAUGAAGCGCAUCAAGU